GCUGGGGUUGUGGCUCAGCGGUAGAGUGUUUGCCUACCAUGUGCGAGGCCCUGGGUUUGAUCCUCAGCACAGCA
RNAcentral lists this transfer RNA (74 nucleotides) under Marmota monax (woodchuck). RNAcentral describes it as "tRNA.Gly". Lineage: Eukaryota; Metazoa; Chordata; Mammalia; Rodentia; Sciuridae. The record is from RNAcentral.